This 785-nucleotide ribosomal RNA is filed under the name uncultured Sulfitobacter sp. RNAcentral's name for it is "bacterial SSU rRNA". It matches the Rfam family "Bacterial small subunit ribosomal RNA", at positions 35 to 865 of the family's 1533-position model. Lineage: Bacteria; Pseudomonadati; Pseudomonadota; Alphaproteobacteria; Rhodobacterales; Roseobacteraceae. The record is from RNAcentral.
GCUGGCGGCAGGCCUAACACAUGCAAGUCGAGCGCAGUCCUUCGGGACCGAGCGGCGGACGGGUUAGUAACGCGUGGGAACAUACCCUUUUCUACGGAAUAGCCUCGGGAAACUGAGAGUAAUACCGUAUAAGCCCUUCGGGGGAAAGAUUUAUCGGGAAAGGAUUGGCCCGCGUUAGAUUAGAUAGUUGGUGGGGUAAUGGCCUACCAAGUCUACGAUCUAUAGCUGGUUUUAGAGGAUGAUCAGCAACACUGGGACUGAGACACGGCCCAGACUCCUACGGGAGGCAGCAGUGGGGAAUCUUAGACAAUGGGCGCAAGCCUGAUCUAGCCAUGCCGCGUGUGUGAUGAAGGUCUUAGGAUCGUAAAGCACUUUCGCCAGGGAUGAUAAUGACAGUACCUGGUAAAGAAACCCCGGCUAACUCCGUGCCAGCAGCCGCGGUAAUACGGAGGGGGUUAGCGUUGUUCGGAAUUACUGGGCGUAAAGCGUACGUAGGCGGAUCAGAAAGUAGGGGGUGAAAUCCCAGGGCUCAACCCUGGAACUGCCUCCUAAACUCCUGGUCUUGAGUUCGAGAGAGGUGAGUGGAAUUCCAAGUGUAGAGGUGAAAUUCGUAGAUAUUUGGAGGAACACCAGUGGCGAAGGCGGCUCACUGGCUCGAUACUGACGCUGAGGUACGAAAGUGUGGGGAGCAAACAGGAUUAGAUACCCUGGUAGUCCACACCGUAAACGAUGAAUGCCAGUCGUCGGGCAGUAUACUGUUCGGUGACACACCUAACGGAUUAAGC